GACUACAGGGGUAUCUAAUCCUGUUCGCUCCCCCAGCUUUCGCGCCUCAGCGUCAGUUACGGUCCAGGAAGCCGCCUUCGCCACCGGUGUUCCUCCACAUAUCUAUACAUUUCACCGUUACACGUGGAAUUCCGCUUCCCUCUCCCGCACUCCAGCACGCCAGUAUCCAGGGUCCCCCCACAGUUGAGCCGUGGGAUUUCACCCCGGACUUAACGCGCCGCCUGCGCGCCCUUUACGCCCAGUAAUUCCGGACAACGCUCGCCACCUACGUAUUACCGCGGCUGCUGGCACGUAGUUAGCCGUGGCUUCCUCCAGGGGUACCGUCCGUUCUCGUCCCCCUAGACAGAGCUUUACGACCCGAAGGCCUUCUUCGCUCACGCGGCGUCGCUCGGUCAGGCUUUCGCCCAUUGCCGAAAAUCCCUCACUGCAGCCUCCCGUAGG
RNAcentral lists this ribosomal RNA (441 nucleotides) under uncultured Bacillota bacterium. RNAcentral describes it as "uncultured Firmicutes bacterium partial 16S ribosomal RNA". The record is from RNAcentral. Lineage: Bacteria; Bacillati; Bacillota.